UACGUAGGGGGCAAGCGUUGUCCGGAUUGACUGGGCGUAAAGCGCACGCAGGCGGUUGCGCGCGUGGGGUGUGAAAUCUGGCCGCUUAACGGCCAGGCGCCAUCCCAUACGGCGCGACUGGAGUGAUGCAGAGGUCGAUGGAAUUGCCGGUGUAGUGGUGAAAUGCGUAGAGAUCGGCAGGAACACCCAGGGGGAAACCAGUCGACUGGGCAUCUACUGACGCUGAGGUGCGAGAGCGUGGGGAGCGAACCGG
This 253-nucleotide ribosomal RNA is filed under the name uncultured bacterium. RNAcentral describes it as "partial 16S ribosomal RNA". It matches the Rfam family "Bacterial small subunit ribosomal RNA", at positions 524 to 776 of the family's 1533-position model. The record is from RNAcentral.